GACGAGUGGGUUUAGACCCACGGCGAACGGGUGAGUAAUACCUAGGAACUUUUUCACAGUCGGGCAUAACCAGCCGAAAGGUUGGACAAUUCCCGAUACCCCGCAAGGGCAAAGCCGCAAGGCGCUGUGAGUGAGGCCUGGGCACCAUCAGCUAGUUGGUAAGGUAAUGGCUUACCAAGGCUAUGACGGUUAGCGGCCCCGAGAGGGGGAACCGCCACACUGGAACUGCGACACGGUCCAGACUCCUACGGGAGGCAGCAGUUUGGAAUAUUGGACAAUGGGCGAAAGCCUGAUCCAGCGACGCCGCGUGGACGAUGAAGGCCUUCGGGUCGUAAAGUCCUUUUAGCAGGGAAAAAUUUUUGAUUGUACCUGCAGAAUAAGAGGUUGCUAACUCUGUGCCAGCAGCAGCGGUAAUACAGAGACCUCAAACGUUAUCCGGAAUCAUUGGGCGUAAAGCGUACCGAUAGGUGGUUUUACAAGUCAGAAGUGAAAUCUUAAGGCUUAACCUUGAGACUGUCUUUUGAAACUGUAAAACUAGAGGGGCAAAGAGGAAGCUGGAACGAACGGUGUAGUAGUGAAAUGCGUUGAUAUCGUUCGGAACGCCAAUAGCGUAGGCAGGCUUCUGGGUGCCACCUGACACUGCUAGGACGAAAGCGUGGGUAGCGACAAGGAUUAGAUACCCUUUUAGUCCACGCUGUAAACGAUGCACAUUCGGUGCUAGAGAGUAUCGACCCUCUUUAGUACCUAAGCUAACGCGUUAAAUGUGCCGCCUGGGGAGUACGGCCGCAAGGCUAAAACUCAAAGGAAUUGACGGGGACCCGCACAAGCGGUGGAGCAUGUGGUUUAAUUCGACGGUAAGCGAGGAACCUUACCAAGGCUUGACAUAUACCUGCAUAUACCAGAGAUGGUAUAGCCUUCGAGGGUGGUAUACAGUGCUGCACGGUGUCGUCAGCUCGUGCCGUGAGGUGUUCACUUAAGUGUGAAACGAGCGCAACCCCUAC
Molecule: ribosomal RNA, 1001 nt
Filed under: uncultured bacterium
Lineage: Bacteria
Description: bacterial SSU rRNA
Rfam family: Bacterial small subunit ribosomal RNA
Source: RNAcentral